Molecule: unclassified non-coding RNA, 363 nt
Filed under: uncultured Helotiales
Lineage: Eukaryota; Fungi; Ascomycota; Leotiomycetes; Helotiales
Description: sequence contains ITS2
Rfam family: 5.8S ribosomal RNA (bases 1-154)
Source: RNAcentral
AACUUUCGGCAAUGGAUCUCUUUGUGCUGGCAUCGAUGAAGAACGCAGCGAAAUGCGAUAAGUAAUGUGAAUUGCAGAAUUCAGUGAAUCAUCGAAUCUUUGAACGCACAUUGCGCCCCUUGGUAUUCCGAGGGGCAUGCCUGUUCGAGCGUCAUUAUAACCCCUCAAGCUCAGCUUGGUGUUGGGGCCUGCCGCACAGGCAGCCCUUAAAAUCAGUGGCGGUGCCAUCUGGCUCUAAGCGUAGUAAUUCUUCUCGCUAUAGAGUCCCGGUGGAUGCUUGCCAUCAACCCCCAAUUUUCUAUGGUUGACCUCGGAUCAGGUAGGGAUCCCCGCUGACCUUAAGCAUAUCAAUAAGCGGAGGCU